GGCGAACGGGUGAGUAACACGUGGGUAAUCUGCCCUGCACUCUGGGAUAAGCCUGGGAAACUGGGUCUAAUACUGGAUAUGACCUUUCUCCUUAUGGGGUUUGGUGGAAAGUUUUUCGGUGUAGGAUGAGCCCGCGGCCUAUCAGCUUGUUGGUGGGGUGAUGGCCUACCAAGGCGACGACGGGUAGCCGGCCUGAGAGGGUGAUCGGCCACACUGGGACUGAGAUACGGCCCAG
This 235-nucleotide ribosomal RNA is filed under the name uncultured Actinomycetales bacterium. RNAcentral's name for it is "partial 16S ribosomal RNA". It matches the Rfam family "Bacterial small subunit ribosomal RNA", at positions 97 to 334 of the family's 1533-position model. The record is from RNAcentral. Lineage: Bacteria; Bacillati; Actinomycetota; Actinomycetes; Actinomycetales.